GACGAACGCUGGCGGCGUGCUUAACACAUGCAAGUCGAACGGAAAGGCCCUGCUUUUGUGGGGUGCUCGAGUGGCGAACGGGUGAGUAACACGUGAGUAACCUGCCCUUGACUUUGGGAUAACUUCAGGAAACUGGGGCUAAUACCGGAUAGGAGCUCCUGCUGCAUGGUGGGGGUUGGAAAGUUUCGGCGGUUGGGGAUGGACUCGCGGCUUAUCAGCUUGUUGGUGGGGUAGUGGAUUACCAAGGCUUUGACGGGUAGCCGGCCUGAGAGGGUGACCGGCCACAUUGGGAUUGAGAUAGGGCCCAGACGCCAUCGGGAGGCAGGAGCGGGGAAUUUUGCACAAUGGGCGGAGGCCGGAUGCAGCAACGCCGGGUGCGGGAUGACGGCUUUCGGGUAGUAAACCGCUUUUGCGUGUGACGAAGCGUGAGUGACGGUAAUGGGUAAAGAAGCACCGGCUAACUACGU
RNAcentral lists this ribosomal RNA (467 nucleotides) under uncultured bacterium. Its description in RNAcentral is "partial 16S ribosomal RNA". It matches the Rfam family "Bacterial small subunit ribosomal RNA", at positions 28 to 506 of the family's 1533-position model. The record is from RNAcentral.